Molecule: ribosomal RNA, 403 nt
Filed under: uncultured bacterium
Lineage: Bacteria
Description: partial 16S ribosomal RNA
Rfam family: Bacterial small subunit ribosomal RNA
Source: RNAcentral
GACGAACGCUGGCGGCGUACCUAAUACAUGCAAGUCGAACGCAGUUGGGACGGGUUAGUAACACGUGGGUAACCUCCCAUCAGAGGGGAUAACACUUGGAAACAGGUGCUAAACCGAUACUGAUGGAUGGACCCUCGGUGCAUUAGCCAGUUGGGGAGGUAACGGCUCCCCAAGGCCACGAUGCAUCGCCGACCGGAGAGGAUGAGCGGCCACACUGGGACGGAGACACGGCCCAGACUCCUACGGGAGGCAGCAGUAGGGAAUCUUCGGCAAUGGACGAAAGUCUGACCGAGCAACGCCGCGUGAGUGAAGAAGGUUUUCGGAUCGUAAAACUCUGUUGUGAGAGAAGCGGUAUCUAACCAGAAAGCCACGGCUAACUACGUGCCAGCAGCCGCGGUAAUAC